RNAcentral lists this ribosomal RNA (208 nucleotides) under uncultured bacterium. RNAcentral describes it as "partial 16S ribosomal RNA". It matches the Rfam family "Bacterial small subunit ribosomal RNA", at positions 568 to 776 of the family's 1533-position model. The record is from RNAcentral.
UGCGUAGGUGGUUUCUUAAGUCAGAGGUGAAAGGCUACGGCUCAACCGUAGUAAGCCUUUGAAACUGGGAAACUUGAGUGCAGGAGAGGAGAGUGGAAUUCCUAGUGUAGCGGUGAAAUGCGUAGAGAUUGGGAGGAACACCAGUGGCGAAGGCGACUAACUGGACUGUAACUGACGCUGAGGCGCGAAAGUGUGGGGAGGCAAAACA